RNAcentral lists this ribosomal RNA (254 nucleotides) under uncultured bacterium. RNAcentral describes it as "partial 16S ribosomal RNA". It matches the Rfam family "Bacterial small subunit ribosomal RNA", at positions 524 to 776 of the family's 1533-position model. The record is from RNAcentral.
UACGGGGGGAGCAAGCGUUGUUCGGAUUUACUGGGCGUAGAGGGCGCGUAGGCGGUCGUGACAAGUCACUUGUGAAAUCUCCGGGCUUAACUCGGAACGGUCAAGUGAUACUGUCGGACUAGAGUACAGAAGGGGCAACUGGAAUUCUCGGUGUAGCGGUGAAAUGCGUAGAUAUCGAGAGGAACACCUGCGGCGAAGGCGGGUAGCUGGGCCGACACUGACGCUGAGGCGCGAAAGCCAGGGGAGCGAACGGG